GACGAACGCUGGCGGCGUGGAUUAGGCAUGCAAGUCGAACGCGAAAGAGGGGGAAACCCCUCGAGUAGAGUGGCGAACGGGUGAGUAACGCGUGAAGAACCUGCCCUCAGCAGGGGGAUAACACUCCUAACGGGGUGCUAAUACCGCAUGAGACCACGAGUCCAUAUGAACUUGAGGUCAAAGGUGGCCUCUGCUUGCAAAGCUACCGGCUGAGGAUGGCUUCGCGUCCCAUAGCUAGUUGGCGGUGUAACGGACCACCAAGGCGACGAUGGGUAGCUGGUCUGAGAGGAUGGUCAGCCACACUGGGACUGAGAUACGGCCCAGACUCCUACGGGAGGCAGCAGUGGGGAAUUUUGCGCAA
RNAcentral lists this ribosomal RNA (361 nucleotides) under uncultured bacterium. Its description in RNAcentral is "bacterial SSU rRNA". It matches the Rfam family "Bacterial small subunit ribosomal RNA", at positions 28 to 371 of the family's 1533-position model. The record is from RNAcentral.